CCCGUACACCAAAAUGCACAGGUUGUGAACUCGAAGAGUAGGGCGGGACACGUGGUAUCCUGUCUGAAUAUGGGGGGACCAUCCUCCAAGGCUAAAUACUCCUGACUGACCGAUAGUGAACCAGUACCGUGAGGGAAAGGCGAAAAGAACCCCGGCGAGGGGAGUGAAAAAGAACCUGAAACCGUGUACGUACAAGCAGUGGGAGCACCUUCGGGUGUGACUGCGUACCUUUUGUAUAAUGGGUCAGCGACUUAUAUUCUGUAGCAAGGUUAACCGUAUAGGGGAGCCGCAGGGAAACCGAGUCUUAACUGGGCGUUAAGUUGCAGGGUAUAGACCCGAAACCCGGUGAUCUAGCCAUGGGCAGGUUGAAGGUUGGGUAACACUAACUGGAGGACCGAACCGACUAAUGUUGAAAAAUUAGCGGAUGACUUGUGGCUGGGGGUGAAAGGCCAAUCAAACCGGGAGAUAGCUGGUUCUCCCCGAAAGCUAUUUAGGUAGCGCCUCGUGAAUUCAUCUUCGGGGGUAGAGCACUGUUUCGGCUAGGGGGUCAUCCCGACUUACCAACCCGAUGCAAACUACGAAUACCGAAGAAUGUUAUCACGGGAGACACACGGCGGGUGCUAACGUCCGUCGUGAAGAGGGAAACAACCCAGACCGCCAGCUAAGGUCCCAAAGUCAUGGUUAAGUGGGAAACGAUGUGGGAAGGCACAGACAGCCAGGAUGUUGGCUUAGAAGCAGCCAUCAUUUAAAGAAAGCGUAAUAGCUCACUGGUCGAGUCGGCCUGCGCGGAAGAUGUAACGGGGCUAAACCAUGCACCGAAGCUGCGGCAGCGACACUAUGUGUUGUUGGGUAGGGGAGCGUUCUGUAAGCCUGCGAAGGUGUGCUGUGAGGCAUGCUGGAGGUAUCAGAAGUGCGAAUGCUGACAUAAGUAACGAUAAAGCGGGUGAAAAGCCCGCUCGCCGGAAGACCAAGGGUUCCUGUCCAACGUUAAUCGGGGCAGGGUGAGUCGACCCCUAAGGCGAGGCCGAAAGGCGUAGUCGAUGGGAAACAGGUUAAUAUUCCUGUACUUGGUGUUACUGCGAAGGGGGGACGGAGAAGGCUAUGUUAGCCGGGCGACGGUUGUCCCGGUUUAAGCAUGUAGGCUGGUUGUCCAGGCAAAUCCGGAUAAUCAAGGCUGAGGUGUGAUGACGAGGCACUACGGUGCUGAAGUAACAAAUGCCCUGCUUCCAGGAAAAGCCUCUAAGCAUCAGGUAACAUUAAAUCGUACCCCAAACCGACACAGGUGGUCAGGUAGAGAAUACCAAGGCGCUUGAGAGAACUCGGGUGAAGGAACUAGGCAAAAUGGUGCCGUAACUUCGGGAGAAGGCACGCUGGUGUGUAGGUGAAGUCCCUGCGGAUGGAGCUGAAACCAGUCGAAGAUAC
This 1422-nucleotide ribosomal RNA is filed under the name Klebsiella pneumoniae. RNAcentral's name for it is "bacterial LSU rRNA". It matches the Rfam family "Bacterial large subunit ribosomal RNA", at positions 372 to 1786 of the family's 2925-position model. The record is from RNAcentral. Lineage: Bacteria; Pseudomonadati; Pseudomonadota; Gammaproteobacteria; Enterobacterales; Enterobacteriaceae.